RNAcentral lists this long non-coding RNA (1890 nucleotides) under Marmota monax (woodchuck). Lineage: Eukaryota; Metazoa; Chordata; Mammalia; Rodentia; Sciuridae. The record is from RNAcentral.
AUAUUUCUGGAGAUUUUAGAGAGUGCUUAACUGGGCUGACAUUUUUUUUUUCUUGAUCUUAUUGCAAACGCAGUAAAGAACACUGUCUAGGAAGCCUUACCAUAUCCUCCCUUUGUGGGUGUGUUUAAUCUCAUUGUGCAAAUAAAUAUUCUUCGUUUGUUUUCGGUGUAGGUUCUUUUUCUUAGACCUUGGAAACUCUGAAGAACUUUGCAUAUAUAAGUGUUUGGUGUCUUUAUGGGUAUUCUGGAAAAAAAAAGAAGAAGAAAAGAAAGGAAAGACAAAGAGAGAUAGAUGAAGAGAAAAAGGGAGAAAGAGAGUACAACUAAGAAAAAGAGAAAGAUGUCAAAAAUGAAAGGUAAGUAUAUGGAGCAGAAUGUACCUUAAAAAUAAAUGAAAUCAAAGAAACAAAUGCAUGGUUUAGAAUUCAUAACUGUACUCUGAGUUUUAAUUUGUUGAAUAAUCUAGGCUACCAUAUUUAUAAAAUAGGCAUAUUAAUAAUAGCAUCAUCAUGCUGAUUUCAAAAUUAUACUAAUAGUCUUCUACUCAACAUCUUCCUUAAAUUAAAUAUCUAUUACAUAUAUAUGUAUGUGUUUGCUGAAUUCUUUAUAGAUCAUAAAUUAUGGAAUUUUUUGCAACUUGAGUGUGUGUAUAGAACAUUGAAGUUAGUCCACCCUACUUAGAGAUAGACCAGAUUCUAGGAAAGCAUCUCAUCUUCGGUUUGUAAGUAGGUUUAUAUUCCUGUGUUGACACUGGUAAGAAUGGCAGUGUUAGUAUGGAACAUUUUUUUUGAGGAUUCUGGAGGCUGCAUAUAGAUUGGGGGAGAGAGUUUUGUGACUGGUGACUUCUGUCUGCAUGCACCCUGCAUGGAGAAUGGUGACAGGUAUUUGGUAUUUUGAUAUCUCUAAUCUAUUUCAACAUCCUGAGUUUACAGGAAAAAAGCCCAGACAUUUCUAUGACACUUCAGAGAUUGUGCAACUUAUUCACAUACGCUGACAGUUAAUUUUUACAUUCCUGUGAAGUAUGCAGUAUUUUGAACCCCAAGUAUAGAUGAGAAACUGAUGUUUUUCAAGUUCACAAGUCAGUGACAGAGCUAAGACCAGAGGCAAGGCCUUAUGUCUUCUAAUAAAAAAAACCUUUCCACAAUGAAACAAAAGGCUGUUGCUGUACCAGUUAGGAAUGCCUCUGUGGGCACAAGAAAAUCUGAUUAGUGAGUGAUAGGCUAAACAAACAUAGUCAGUCCCACAUGGUGCAUUAGUUUCCAAUUGCUGCCAUAACAAAUCACAAAAAAUUCAAAUAGUACAAGUUUAUUAUCUUAUAGUUCUAGAGGUCAGAAGUCUAAAUUCAGUUUCACUGGCACAAAAAUCAAGGUGUCCAUGGGACUAUGCCCCUUCUGGAACCACCACGAGAGAGUCCCUUUCUUGGCCUCUUACAGCUUCUAGGGACAACUUGCAUUUCUUAGUUUGUAGCCCUUUCCUCCACCUCCAAGGCAGCAGCUCAGCAUCCUCUCUCCUCUCUGACUUCUGCUUCCAUCCCCACUUCUUCUCAUUCUGACUGUGAUCUUCUUGCUGUCCUCUUAAAAUUACCUUGGACCCACCCAGACAACCCACACUGAUCUUUCCAUCGCAGAAUCUUUAACUUAAUCUGCAAAAUCCCUAUACCAUGUAAGGCUACAUAUUCACAGGUUUUGGGAAUUAGGACAUGGACAUUUAGGAGCCCUAAUUUAGUUGACUAUAAUAAGGUCAGCAUAAUAUCCCAGAGAUGGUGCAGUAACUCAUAAGUCUAUCUAUCAUCUUACCACCAAUGUGCUGAAUUUCUUUCUUCUUUUCACUCUGACUUCUUUAAAGUUUUGACCCAUAUCUCAUGAUCACAAGAUGACUGCCAUAGCAGAUG